UACGUAGGGUGCAAGCGUUAAUCGGAAUUACUGGGCGUAAAGCGUGCGCAGGCGGUUAUGUAGGACAGGUGUGAAAUCCCCGGGCUUAACCUGGGAACUGCAUUUGUGACUGCAUAGCUAGAGUACGGUAGAGGGGGAUGGAAUUCCGCGUGUAGCAGUGAAAUGCGUAGAUAUGCGGAGGAACACCGAUGGCGAAGGCAAUCCCCUGGACCUGUACUGACGCUCAUGCACGAAAGCGUGGGGAGCAGACAGG
This 253-nucleotide ribosomal RNA is filed under the name uncultured bacterium. RNAcentral's name for it is "partial 16S ribosomal RNA". It matches the Rfam family "Bacterial small subunit ribosomal RNA", at positions 524 to 776 of the family's 1533-position model. The record is from RNAcentral.